This 253-nucleotide ribosomal RNA is filed under the name uncultured bacterium. RNAcentral describes it as "partial 16S ribosomal RNA". It matches the Rfam family "Bacterial small subunit ribosomal RNA", at positions 524 to 776 of the family's 1533-position model. The record is from RNAcentral.
UACGUAGGGGGCAAGCGUUGUCCGGAUUUAUUGGGCGUAAAGAGCUCGUAGGCGGUUCCGUAAGUCGGAUGUGAAAAAUCUGGGCUCAACCCAGUGGAGCACCCGAUACUGCGGUGACUCGAGUCCGGUAGGGGAGUGUGGAAUUCCUGGUGUAGCGGUGAAAUGCGCAGAUAUCAGGAGGAACACCGACGGCGAAGGCAGCACUCUGGGCCGGUACUGACGCUGAGGAGCGAAAGCAUGGGGAGCAAACAGG